UAAAGCGGCGAACGGGUGAGUAACACGUGAGUCACCUACCCUCCAGUAGGGGAUAACACUUCGAAAGGGGUGCUAAUACCGUGUACGGUCCCGACCGUGUCUGCGGAUGGGACGAAAGGUGGCCUCUCUAUAGAAGCUGCCGCUGGGGGAUGGGCUCGCGUCCCAUUAGCUAGUUGGUAGGGUAACGGCCUACCAAGGCAACUAUGGGUAGCUGGUCUGGGAGGACGAUCAGCCACACUGGAACUGAGACACGGUCCAGACUCCUACGGGAGGCAGCAGUGGGGAAUAUUGCACAAUGGGGGAAACCCUGAUGCAGCAACGCCGCGUGCGGGAUGAAGGCUUUCGGGUCGUAAACCGCUGUCAGGGGGGAAGAAAUCGCUCCGGUGAAUAGCCGGAGUGGAUGACGGUACCCCCAGAGGAAGCCCCGGCUAACUCCGUGCCAGCAGCCGCGGUAAGACGGAGGGGGCGAGCGUUGUUCGGAAUUAUUGGGCGUAAAGCGCGCGUAGGCGGUCGAGUAAGUCGGACGUGAAAGCCCAGGGCUCAACCCUGGAAGUGCGCUCGAUACUGCACGACUUGAGUACGGGAGAGGAGAGUGGAAUUCC
RNAcentral lists this ribosomal RNA (602 nucleotides) under uncultured bacterium. Its description in RNAcentral is "bacterial SSU rRNA". It matches the Rfam family "Bacterial small subunit ribosomal RNA", at positions 91 to 670 of the family's 1533-position model. The record is from RNAcentral.